This 460-nucleotide ribosomal RNA is filed under the name uncultured bacterium. RNAcentral describes it as "partial 16S ribosomal RNA". It matches the Rfam family "Bacterial small subunit ribosomal RNA", at positions 338 to 795 of the family's 1533-position model. The record is from RNAcentral.
CCUACGGGAGGCAGCAGUGAGGAAUAUUGGUCAAUGGGCGAGAGCCUGAACCAGCCAAGUCGCGUGAAGGAUGACGGCCCUACGGGUUGUAAACUUCUUUUGUCAGGGAGCAAUUGGGUCCACGCGUGGGCUUAGCGAGAGUACCUGAAGAAAAAGCAUCGGCUAACUCCGUGCCAGCAGCCGCGGUAAUACGGAGGAUGCGAGCGUUAUCCGGAUUUAUUGGGUGUAAAGGGUGCGUAGGCGGAAUAUCAAGUCAGCGGUAAAAAUUCGGGGCUCAACCCCGUCGUGCCGUUGAAACUGAUGUUCUUGAGUGGGUGAGAAGUAUGCGGAAUGCGUGGUGUAGCGGUGAAAUGCAUAGAUAUCACGCAGAACUCCGAUUGCGAAGGCAGCAUACCGGCGCCCGACUGACGCUGAGGCACGAAAGCGUGGGGAUCGAACAGGAUUAGAUACCCGAGUAGUC